UACGUAGGUGGCAAGCGUUGUCCGGAAUUAUUGGGCGUAAAGCGCGCGCAGGCGGUCCUUUAAGUCUGAUGUGAAAGCCCACGGCUCAACCGUGGAGGGUCAUUGGAAACUGGGGGACUUGAGUGCAGAAGAGGAAAGCGGAAUUCCACGUGUAGCGGUGAAAUGCGUAGAGAUGUGGAGGAACACCAGUGGCGAAGGCGGCUUUCUGGUCUGUAACUGACGCUCAUGCACGACAGCGUGGGGAGCAAACAGG
This 253-nucleotide ribosomal RNA is filed under the name uncultured bacterium. RNAcentral's name for it is "partial 16S ribosomal RNA". It matches the Rfam family "Bacterial small subunit ribosomal RNA", at positions 524 to 776 of the family's 1533-position model. The record is from RNAcentral.